This 310-nucleotide ribosomal RNA is filed under the name uncultured soil bacterium. Its description in RNAcentral is "bacterial SSU rRNA". It matches the Rfam family "Bacterial small subunit ribosomal RNA", at positions 26 to 363 of the family's 1533-position model. The record is from RNAcentral.
AGAACGAACGCUGGCGGCAUGCCUAACACAUGCAAGUCGAACGAGACCUUCGGGUCUAGUGGCGCACGGGUGCGUAACGCGUGGGAAUCUGCCCUUGGGUUCGGGAUAACAGUUGGAAACGACUGCUAAUACCGGAUGAUGACUUCGGUCCAAAGAUUUAUCGCCCAGGGAUGAGCCCGCGUAGGAUUAGCUAGUUGGUGAGGUAAAGCUCACCAAGGCGACGAUCCUUAGCUGGUCUGAGAGGAUGAUCAGCCACACUGGGACUGAGACACGGCCCAGACUCCUACGGGGAGGCAGCAGGUGGGGAAUA